Molecule: ribosomal RNA, 364 nt
Filed under: uncultured bacterium
Lineage: Bacteria
Description: partial 16S ribosomal RNA
Rfam family: Bacterial small subunit ribosomal RNA
Source: RNAcentral
CCUACGGUUGGCUGCAGUGAGGAAUAUUGGUCAAUGGGCGAAAGCCUGAACCAGCCAUGCCGCGUGCAGGAAGACGGCUCUAUGAGUUUUAAACUGCUUUUGUACGAGGGUAAACACAGAUACGUGCAUCUGCUUGAACGUAUCCUACGAAUAAGGAUCGGCUAACUCCGUGCCAGCAGCCGCGGUAAUACGGAGGAUCCACGCGUUAUCCGGAUUUAUUGGGUUUAACGGGUGCGUAGGCGGUUUAGUAAGUCAGCGGUGAAAUUUUGGUGCUCAACACCAGACGUGCCGUUGAUACUGUUGGGCUGGAGAGUAGUUGCGGUAGGCGGAAUGUAUGGUGUAGCGGUGAAAUGCUUAGAGAUCA